AUUCUUACCUGGCAGGGGAGAUACCAUGAUAUUGGAGAUGGUUCUCCUAUGGCAAGUCUUGUCCAUUCCACUCGGCAUGUGCUGACCACUGAAAAUUCCCCAAAAGCAAGAAACUCAACUGCAUAAUUUGUGAUAGUAGGUGACUACAUUUGCACCUU
Molecule: small nuclear RNA, 158 nt
Organism: Acomys russatus (golden spiny mouse)
Lineage: Eukaryota; Metazoa; Chordata; Mammalia; Rodentia; Muridae
Product: U1 spliceosomal RNA
Exons: 1
Source: RefSeq, a predicted model, not a curated record